AUUGAACGCUGGCGGCAUGCCUAACACAUGCAAGUCGAACGGCAGCACAGCAUGUAGCAAUACAUGUGGGUGGCGAGUGGCGGACGGGUGAGUAACGCGUGGGAAUCUGCCCUAUAGUGGGGGACAACCCGACGAAAGUCGGGCUAAUACCGCAUACGCCCUACGGGGAAAGGCUUCGGCCGCUAUUGGAUGAGCCCGCGUCGGAUUAGCUAGUUGGUGAGGUAAUGGCUCACCAAGGCGACGAUCCGUAGCUGGUCUGAGAGGACGAUCAGCCACACUGGGACUGAGACACGGCCCAGACUCCUACGGGAGGCAGCAGUGGGGAAUAUUGCAUAAUGGGCGAAAGCCUGAUGCAGCAAUGCCGCGUGUGUGAAGAAGGCCUGCGGGUUGUAAAGCACUUUCGGUAGGGAAGAUUAUGACGGUACCUACAGAAGAAGCACCGGCUAACUCCGUGCCAGCAGCCGCGGUAAU
This 471-nucleotide ribosomal RNA is filed under the name uncultured bacterium. Its description in RNAcentral is "bacterial SSU rRNA". It matches the Rfam family "Bacterial small subunit ribosomal RNA", at positions 30 to 524 of the family's 1533-position model. The record is from RNAcentral.